GAUGAACGCUGGCGGCGUGCCUAAUACAUGCAAGUCGAGCGGACAGACGAGGAGCUUGCUCCUGUUACGUUAGCGGCGGACGGGUGAGUAACACGUGGGCAACCUACCUUGUAGACGGGGAUAACUUCGGGAAACCGGAGCUAAUACCGGAUAAUAUUUCGUAUCGCAUGGUUUUAUAUUGAAAGACGGCGCUGCUUUCACUUAUAGGUUGGGCUGCGCCGUAUUAGCUAGUUGGUAAGGUAACGGCUUACCAAGGCAACGAUACGUAGCCGACCUGAGAGGGUGAUCGGCCACACUGGAACUGAGACACGGUCCAGACUCCUACGGGAGGCAGCAGUAGGGAAUCUUCCGCAAUGGGCGAAAGCCUGACGGAGCAACGCCGCGUGAGUGAUGAAGGUCUUCGGAUCGUAAAACUCUGUUAUUAGGGAAGAACAAACGUGUAAGUAACUGUGCACGUCUUGACGGUACCUAAUCAGAAAGCCACGGCUAACUACGUG
This 497-nucleotide ribosomal RNA is filed under the name uncultured bacterium. Its description in RNAcentral is "partial 16S ribosomal RNA". It matches the Rfam family "Bacterial small subunit ribosomal RNA", at positions 28 to 507 of the family's 1533-position model. The record is from RNAcentral.